This 535-nucleotide ribosomal RNA is filed under the name uncultured bacterium. Its description in RNAcentral is "bacterial SSU rRNA". It matches the Rfam family "Bacterial small subunit ribosomal RNA", at positions 120 to 674 of the family's 1533-position model. The record is from RNAcentral.
GGGAACGUGCCCUUUGCUACGGAAUAGCCCCGGGAAACUGGGAGUAAUACCGUAUGUGCCCCUUGGCCUUGGCGGUCAUGGGGGAAAGAUUUAUCGGCAAAGGAUCGGCCCGCGUUGGAUUAGGUAGUUGGUGGGGUAAUGGCCCACCAAGCCGACGAUCCAUAGCUGGUUUGAGAGGAUGAUCAGCCACACUGGGACUGAGACACGGCCCAGACUCCUACGGGAGGCAGCAGUGGGGAAUCUUAGACAAUGGGGGCAACCCUGAUCUAGCCAUGCCGCGUGAGUGAUGAAGGCCUUAGGGUUGUAAAGCUCUUUCAGCUGGGAAGAUAAUGACGGUACCAGCAGAAGAAGCCCCGGCUAACUCCGUGCCAGCAGCCGCGGUAAUACGGAGGGGGCUAGCGUUGUUCGAAAUUACUGGGCGUAAAGCGCACGUAGGCGGACCGGACAGUCAGAGGUGAAAUCCCAGGGCUCAACCUUGGAACUGCCUUUGAAACUAUCGGUCUGGAGUUCGAGAGAGGUGAGUGGAAUUCCGAGU